UUUGAUUUUAUACCUACAAAAUGCGGCUACACCUUUUCUUUGCAUUUCUUGUACCAUUUUCUCUCUAUUAUCUUCAAUAAACCCUGGUUCUCAAAAAUUCUAAAUUCAAUUUCGAACAUCCCUAAACUCAUCUCUCUCUUCAAUUCGCGAUUUGCCGUAAGAAAAGCAACUCGGUGUUGAAGAAGAUGCUGGUGUUUUGUGAAAGGAAGUUAAGAGAUUGAAGGUUAAAGUUUCGGGUAUUAGUUCGGUUUUGGAACGACAAACUAAGGAGUUAGAUGAACUUAAAGAUGAGCUCUGACUUGCAAAGAGCAGUCAAAGAAAGAAAUAGCAUUAAAGAAUGAAGCGUUGAAUCAGAAAGCAUCAAUGCAAAUCCAGCUUCAUGUGAAAACAGAGGAGCUUGAGAAGUCAAGUUUGGAGCGUUUUAGAUUGCAAGAGAGAAAUAUGGCUUUGCUAAAGAGUUCGCAACAUUAAAAUUGUGAGUGGAGCUGCAGUUUGAUUGAGUUUCUAUACUUUGCUAUUAUAUAAUAUUUUUUUGUAUGUUUGUCAGGAACACUGAAAUGACAAUGGAAAAUCGAACUUUGUGUUUGGUGGAAUAAUGUCUUUAAUAAUUUAGGAGAUGGAAUUAUGAGUUUGGAUUUUGAACAAGCUGAGGACAACAAGCCAGUAUUGAACAUAUCCUAACCUUCAUUUUCUCAAUGUUGGUUUUCAUUUAGAUUCGUCCUUUGUUUUCAUUGAACUAGGGGAAAAAGUUAAAAGUUCGCAUGAAUUAAGAAGUAAAGUUUGAAUAAGCUUUGGACUAAUUAAAAGUUUACAUUUCUAGGACUUAAAAUCUUUUGUACCUAUAGCGUUCCUAGCGUGGGUGAUGCUGGUUCCUGUCAACUGGACAAGCACUGGGAUAGAAACGGCUGGGAUAAAAAACAUAACUUCCAGCGACAUUGAUAAGCUCUCAGUUUCAAUGUCCAGCGUGGAUCUGAAAGGUUUUGGUCACACAUAGUAGCUGCUUAUGCAUUUACCUUCUGGACAUGCUAAAUUUUGAUGAGGGAGUAUGAAAAAGUUGCCUCAACGAGAUUACAAUUUGUUGCAGCAGAAAAGCGUUGUCCUUAUCAAUUUUCAGUGCGUAAUACAUUUGAACCUAUAGCCUCAUACAAACUACCGAAUCCUCUCACCACUAGCCCAAUCACAGUGAUUAAAGGUGCUAUGCCUACUUAGUAAUAUUUCUAGGUGCUUGUUUGAAACAUUCCUCCAGAUCUUGAUGAAUCUGUUAGUGAGCUCGUUGAGCACUUCUUUCUGGUCAAUCAUCUGGAUAACUAUCUUACUCACCAGGUUGUUUAUAAUGCAAACAAAUUAGCAAAGUUGGUUAAAAAGAAGAGUAAGCUGCAGAAUUGGCUCGUCUGUUAUCAAAAUAAACUUGACAGAACUUCAAACUGAAAUGAAGGGAUUAGUUUUAAACUGAACUGCAGAAUUGGCUCCGCAUCACUAGCGUCAAUGGCUGAAAAUUUUCAGCGUUCUGCAAUUGAAUUUGCUUGUUCUAUGCAACACAACUCUUCCACCCACUUUCGUACCUUUCAGAUGUAUUGAUGGUAGCACGAGAGAAUCCGACUUUCGGUGUCAGGUUUUGCUAUUUCUGUUGCGCUUCUUGUUACAAGAGGUAUUUUCCCAUCUUUUUCACAUACAAGUAUAUUGUUUCAAUUAAGGAACUUUGCAUCUUUAAUUGUAUAUUGUUACAAGGGGCUAUACUGUGACAAAAUUGGGGAAACUAAUGCAGGAUCAAUGCUUAUUUCUUUUUAUUUGUGUAAUUUCAUUACACUCCUUUCUCUUUUUGCUAUCAGAUAUGUCUUUGCUGUCACCACUAAAAAUCAGCAUAGUAAGUCGUACUAAAACUCAUUGAUUUCAUGAUUUGACUCUUGGCAGUUUCCUUUUAUUGUUGAACUUCUCACUUGCAUUUGAAUUUCUGACUUGCAUUUGAAUUUCCAACAAUAUAUGAAUUAAGGACAAGGAACCACACCAAAGUAUAACAAUAGGCAAAUUCUUGAAUAAUAUCCACAAUUAGUUUCACUUCACUAAUAAUCCAUGUUAAACACAAUAAACUAUUUGUUGUGUGAAGCAGUCUUAUUUUUAUCCUCAAUCCUCACAUAAAAUGCAAUUCUAUUUAUCCCUGUUAAUUGUUGUUAUAUGGACUGGUAUGCAGUUGAAAAAUGAUAAAGUUAAAGUAAGUUUUGGUUGAUAAGUAAUAACUUUUGUCUCUAUGCGCACUCUUUUGCAGGUAGUCACAAAUCUACUAAUCAAUGAACAUUGGUUUGAGACCAAUAAAAAUUUAACCUUUCUGUUGUAACAUUUAGGAUUUGUUGGAUCUGAUGAAAAUAGUGGAGAUGAUGACAUUGGUAGCUAUCAUAUUGAAUAGUAUUCGUUUUUAUUUUGUUAAUUUGGUUGUAUCAUAUACUUGAUUAUACUUAGUUUUGAUUUUUGAACAUGAUAUAAAUUGUGUCGGAGUAUUGCAAUAGUAUUUCAA
Non-coding RNA from Cicer arietinum (chickpea), 2509 nucleotides. Lineage: Eukaryota; Viridiplantae; Streptophyta; Magnoliopsida; Fabales; Fabaceae. The record is from RefSeq and is a predicted model, not a curated record.